This 629-nucleotide ribosomal RNA is filed under the name uncultured bacterium. Its description in RNAcentral is "bacterial SSU rRNA". The stretch from base 1 to 542 matches the Rfam family "Bacterial small subunit ribosomal RNA", at positions 338 to 873 of the family's 1533-position model. The record is from RNAcentral.
CCUACGGGAGGCAGCAGUGGGGAAUUUUGGACAAUGGGCGCAAGCCUGAUCCAGCAAUGCCGCGUGCAGGAUGAAGGCCUUCGGGUUGUAAACUGCUUUUGUACGGAACGAAAAGGUCUGCCUUAAUACGGUGGGCCCAUGACGGUACCGUAAGAAUAAGCACCGGCUAACUACGUGCCAGCAGCCGCGGUAAUACGUAGGGUGCGAGCGUUAAUCGGAAUUACUGGGCGUAAAGCGUGCGCAGGCGGUUAUAUAAGACAGAUGUGAAAUCCCCGGGCUCAACCUGGGACCUGCAUUUGUGACUGUAUAGCUAGAGUACGGUAGAGGGGGAUGGAAUUCCGCGUGUAGCAGUGAAAUGCGUAGAUAUGCGGAGGAACACCGAUGGCGAAGGCAAUCCCCUGGACCUGUACUGACGCUCAUGCACGAAAGCGUGGGGAGCAAACAGGAUUAGAUACCCUGGUAGUCCACGCCCUAAACGAUGUCAACUGGUUGUUGGGUCUUCACUGACUCAGUAACGAAGCUAACGCGUGAAGUUGACCGCCGNGGGUAAGGUACGGCCGCGAGUAGUUAACGUUACGAAGAAGUUAGACGGCGNGAGACGCGCCGACGGACGACGACGAGGGAGGAGG